UUUUUAAUCUGACAGGAGAGAGAGAGGCUGAUCAUGAAGUUGAUUUUCUCAGGGUUAGGCUCAUCCAUUGACUCUAGAGUGUGCUGACCCCUAAGAUUUAGCCAAAUGCAGGAAACUCAACUGCAUAACUGGGGUAGUAGAGGUUACAUUGCACCUUCUC
Molecule: small nuclear RNA, 160 nt
Organism: Grammomys surdaster
Lineage: Eukaryota; Metazoa; Chordata; Mammalia; Rodentia; Muridae
Product: U1 spliceosomal RNA
Exons: 1
Source: RefSeq, a predicted model, not a curated record